GCCUUCUGGAGCAAUCAACAAAUCUUCCUCUGAUCGUUCGUAAAACGUUGGAUGUUCUUCUAAUUCGUCUAACUUUUUUAACAUUUUCGUGUCGACAUCGUAUACUUCACCAAAUACAUGCUGUUUAUAAGGAAAUAGAAAAAGAUAUUAAAAUUCAAAGCACAGCCUCAAGUUAGUAACAACACUAAUGCUAGGGCAACAAAAUACAAACUCAGUUUAAUGAAUGAAUUUAGUAACUCACAAAUAAGAGAUAUUUCAUUCGAUCUAAUAUAAAUUUGAUAAAUAAUAAUGUUCUUUGAGAAAAAACUGCGCCUAUGACAACGGGCGAUAGACGUUGCCGCUUAUAAACAAUUCGGUGAAACUAGUUGGACAAUAACAUUAUCUAAGUUGAUAAUAUCGAACUCAUGCAAUACUCACGUGACCAAAGCCAGGUUU
Long non-coding RNA from Bombus huntii, 435 nucleotides. RefSeq lists it as uncharacterized. The transcript is spliced from 2 exons. NCBI's taxonomy places the organism in Eukaryota, Metazoa, Arthropoda, Insecta, Hymenoptera, Apidae. The record is from RefSeq and is a predicted model, not a curated record.